GUCUUUUUGGUUAUUUAAUAUAAAGUCUGACCUGCCCACUGAAAUUAUUUUAAAGGGCCGCAGUAUUUUGACUGUGCAAAGGUAGCAUAAUCAUUAGUCUUUUAAUUGAAGGCUGGUAUGAAUGGUUGGAUGAGGUACAAGCUGUGUCAUAAAAAUUAAUAUUUGAAUUUACCUUUUUAGUCAAAAGGCUAAAAUAAAAUUAAAAGACGAGAAGACCCUAUAGAGCUUUAUAUAAUUUAUAUUUAAAUUAUUAAGAUUUUUUAAAUUUAAUUAUUUUAUUAUAUUUUGUUGGGGUGACAAUAAAAUUUAUAUAACUUUUAUUAUUUAUUUACAUUUGUUUAUGGUUGAAUGAUCCAGUUUUAUUGAUUAUAAGUUUAAGUUACCUUAGGGAUAACAGCGUAAUUUUUUUUGAGAGUUCUUAUCGACAAAAAAGAUUGCGACCUCGAUGUUGGAUUAAGAGUAAUUUUGGGUGUAGAAGUUCAAAGUUUAAGUCUGUUCGACUUUUAAAUUCUUACAU
This 517-nucleotide ribosomal RNA is filed under the name Simulium melanopus. Its description in RNAcentral is "partial 16S ribosomal RNA". It matches the Rfam family "Bacterial large subunit ribosomal RNA", at positions 1825 to 2601 of the family's 2925-position model. Lineage: Eukaryota; Metazoa; Arthropoda; Insecta; Diptera; Simuliidae. The record is from RNAcentral.